This 487-nucleotide ribosomal RNA is filed under the name uncultured bacterium. Its description in RNAcentral is "partial 16S ribosomal RNA". It matches the Rfam family "Bacterial small subunit ribosomal RNA", at positions 28 to 506 of the family's 1533-position model. The record is from RNAcentral.
GAUGAACGCUAGCGGCAGGCUUAACACAUGCAAGUCGAGGGGCAGCAUAAUGGAUAGCAAUAUCUAUGGUGGCGACCGGCGCACGGGUGCGUAACGCGUAUGCAACCUACCUUUAACAGGGGGAUAACACUGAGAAAUUGGUACUAAUACCCCAUAAUAUCAUAGAAGGCAUCUUUUAUGGUUGAAAAUUCCGAUGGUUAGAGAUGGGCAUGCGUUGUAUUAGCUAGUUGGUGGGGUAACGGCUCACCAAGGCGACGAUACAUAGGGGGACUGAGAGGUUAACCCCCCACACUGGUACUGAGACACGGACCAGACUCCUACGGGAGGCAGCAGUGAGGAAUAUUGGUCAAUGGACGCAAGUCUGAACCAGCCAUGCCGCGUGCAGGAUGGCGGCUCUAUGAGUUGUAAACUGCUUUUGUACGAGGGUAAACGCAGAUACGUGUAUCUGUCUGAAAGUAUCGUACGAAUAAGGAUCGGCUAACUCCGU